This 67-nucleotide transfer RNA is filed under the name Pielomastax zhengi. RNAcentral's name for it is "tRNA-Leu". The record is from RNAcentral. Lineage: Eukaryota; Metazoa; Arthropoda; Insecta; Orthoptera; Episactidae.
GCUAUUUUGGCAGAUAAUUGCUUUGAAUUUAGAAUUCAAUUAUGUAUAUUUGAUUAUACAGAUAGUA